GAUGAACGCUAGCUACAGGCUUAACACAUGCAAGUCGAGGGAAACGAUAGAGAAAGCUUGCUUUUCUAGGCGUCGACCGGCGCACGGGUGAGUAACGCGUAUCCAACCUGCCCAUCACUUGGGGAUAACCUUGCGAAAGUAAGACUAAUACCCAAUGACGUCUCUAGAAGACAUCUGAAAGAGAUUAAAGAUUUAUCGGUGAUGGAUGGGAUGCGUCUGAUUAGCUUGUUGGCGGGUAACGGCCCACCAAGGCGACGAUCAGUAGGGGUUCUGAGAGGAAGGUUCCCCCCACAUUGGAACUGAGACACGGUCCAAACUCCUACGGGAGGCAGCAGUGAGGAAUAUUGGUCAAUGGACGAGAGUCUGAACCAGCCAAGUAGCGUGAAGGAUGACUGCCCUAUGGGUUGUAAACGUUCUUUUAUACGGGAUAAAGUGAGGCACGUGUGCCUUUUGUAUGUACCGUAUGAUAAGGAUCGGCUAACUCCGUGCCAGCAG
This 495-nucleotide ribosomal RNA is filed under the name uncultured bacterium. RNAcentral's name for it is "bacterial SSU rRNA". It matches the Rfam family "Bacterial small subunit ribosomal RNA", at positions 28 to 514 of the family's 1533-position model. The record is from RNAcentral.